Molecule: transfer RNA, 76 nt
Filed under: Capsulimonas corticalis
Lineage: Bacteria; Bacillati; Armatimonadota; Armatimonadia; Capsulimonadales; Capsulimonadaceae
Description: tRNA-Ala
Rfam family: tRNA
About the family: Transfer RNA (tRNA) molecules are approximately 80 nucleotides in length. Their secondary structure includes four short double-helical elements and three loops (D, anti-codon, and T loops). Further hydrogen bonds mediate the characteristic L-shaped molecular structure. tRNAs have two regions of fundamental functional importance: the anti-codon, which is responsible for specific mRNA codon recognition, and the 3' end, to which the tRNAs corresponding amino acid is attached (by aminoacyl-tRNA synthetases). tRNAs cope with the degeneracy of the genetic code in two manners: having more than one tRNA (with a specific anti-codon) for a particular amino acid; and 'wobble' base-pairing, i.e. permitting non-standard base-pairing at the 3rd anti-codon position.
Source: RNAcentral
GGGGGAUUAGCUCAGUUGGUAGAGCGCUACUUUUGCAAAGUAGAUGUCAGGAGUUCGAAUCUCCUAUCCUCCACCA